This 494-nucleotide ribosomal RNA is filed under the name uncultured bacterium. RNAcentral describes it as "partial 16S ribosomal RNA". It matches the Rfam family "Bacterial small subunit ribosomal RNA", at positions 28 to 507 of the family's 1533-position model. The record is from RNAcentral.
GACGAACGCUGGCGGCGCGCUUAACACAUGCAAGUCGAACGGAAAGGCCUGCUUUCCCUUGUGGAUUGCGGGUACUCGAGUGGCGAACGGGUGAGUAACACGUGAGUGAUCUGCCCCCAACUUGGGUAUAAGCCUGGGAAACUGGGUCUAAUUCCCGAUAGGACUGCAGGGUGGUGCCUGUGGUGGAAAACGAUUUUCUAGUGGUUGGGGAUGAGCUCGCGGCCUAUCAGCUUGUUGGUGGGGUAAUGGCCUACCAAGGCGGCGACGGGUAGCCGGCCUGAGAGGGUGGAAGGCCACAUUGGGACUGAGAUACGGCCCAGAAUCCUACGGGAGGCAGCAGUGGGGAAUAUUGCACAAUGGGCGGAAGCCUGAUGCAGCGACGCCGCGUGGGGGAUGACGGCCUUCGGGUUGUAAACUCCUUUCGACCGCGAGGAAGCCACCUGGUUGGAAGGGUGGUGACGGUAGUGGUAGAAGAAGCACCGGCUAACUACGUG